Molecule: ribosomal RNA, 512 nt
Filed under: uncultured bacterium
Lineage: Bacteria
Description: partial 16S ribosomal RNA
Rfam family: Bacterial small subunit ribosomal RNA
Source: RNAcentral
GAUGAACGCUGGCGGCGUGCCUAAUACAUGCAAGUCGAACGAAACUUCUUUAUCACCGAGUGCUUGCACUCACCGAUAAAGAGUUGAGUGGCGAACGGGUGAGUAACACGUGGGCAACCUGCCAAAAAGAGGGGGAUAACACUUGGAAACAGGUGCUAAUACCGCAUAACCAUAGUUACCGCAUGGUAACUAUGUAAAAGGUGGCUAUACUACCGCUUUUGGAUGGGCCCGCGGCGCAUUAGCUAGUUGGUAGGGUAAAGGCUUACCAAGGCAAUGAUGCGUAGCCGAAUUGAGAGGUUGAUCGGCCACAUUGGGACUGAGACACGGCCCAAACUCCUACGGGAGGCAGCAGUAGGGAAUCUUCCACAAUGGGCGAAAGCCUGAUGGAGCAACGCCGCGUGGGUGAAGAAGGUCUUCGGAUCGUAAAACCCUGUUGUUAGAGAAGAAAGUGCGUGAGAGUAACUGUUCACGUUUCGACGGUAUCUAACCGGAAAGCCACGGCUAACUACGUG